Molecule: transfer RNA, 63 nt
Filed under: Brachionus angularis
Lineage: Eukaryota; Metazoa; Rotifera; Eurotatoria; Ploima; Brachionidae
Description: tRNA-Val
Source: RNAcentral
UAAGUCUUGGUGUAAUUUAACACUUAAAGUUUACAUCUUUAGAUUGUCUCAAGACAGACUUAU